UACAGAGGGUGCGAGCGGUGUCCGGAAUCACUGGGCGUAAAGGGCGCGUAGGCGGCCUGAUAAGUAGGGGGUGAAAUCCUGUGGCUUAACUGCAGGGCUGCCUCCUAGACUGUUAGGCUCGAGCACGGUAGAGGCAGAUGGAAUUCCCGGUGUAGCGGUGGAAUGCGUAGAGAUCGGGAAGAACAUCGGUGGCGAAGGCGGUCUGCUGGGCCGUUGCUGACGCUGAGGCGCGACAGCGUGGGGAGCAAACAGG
RNAcentral lists this ribosomal RNA (253 nucleotides) under uncultured bacterium. Its description in RNAcentral is "partial 16S ribosomal RNA". It matches the Rfam family "Bacterial small subunit ribosomal RNA", at positions 524 to 776 of the family's 1533-position model. The record is from RNAcentral.